GGUCUGAAGCUCCCGCCUCUCUGAAAGUAAGAGUAACAUGCUCCCAACCCCUGCAAAGCAGUUCAGAGACAGCAGCUCACUUAAUCUUUGCAGCUAUCCUGUGGGUACCGAAACCAUUAUUAUCAAGGCCACUUUACAGACGGAGUCUCACUCUGUUGCCCCAGGUAGAUAGUACAUGGAAUGCAGUGGCGUCAUCAUAGCUCACUGCAACCUCAAACUCCUGGGUUCAAGCCAUCCUCCCACUUCAGCAUCUGAACAGCUGAAACUACAGAUGGAGGAAAGGACCAUGAGCCAAGGAAUAUAGCUCCAGAAACUGGAAAAGCCAAGAAAACCAACUCUCUCCUAGAGUCUCCAAAAGGAAUGCAGCCCUGCCCUCACCUUGAUUAUAGCCUCCAUAAGACCCAUUUUGAACAACUGACAUCCAGAACUGUAAGAGAA
Molecule: long non-coding RNA, 438 nt
Organism: Nycticebus coucang (slow loris)
Lineage: Eukaryota; Metazoa; Chordata; Mammalia; Primates; Lorisidae
Exons: 3
Source: RefSeq, a predicted model, not a curated record